RNAcentral lists this ribosomal RNA (484 nucleotides) under uncultured bacterium. RNAcentral describes it as "partial 16S ribosomal RNA". It matches the Rfam family "Bacterial small subunit ribosomal RNA", at positions 30 to 507 of the family's 1533-position model. The record is from RNAcentral.
AUUGAACGCUGGCGGCAGGCCUAACACAUGCAAGUCGAGCGGAAGAAGGGAGCUUGCUCCUGGAUUCAGCGGCGGACGGGUGAGUAAUGCCUAGGAAUCUGCCUGGUAGUGGGGGAUAACGUCCGGAAACGGGCGCUAAUACCGCAUACGUCCUGAGGGAGAAAGUGGGGGAUCUUCGGACCUCACGCUAUCAGAUGAGCCUAGGUCGGAUUAGCUAGUUGGUGGGGUAAAGGCCUACCAAGGCGACGAUCCGUAACUGGUCUGAGAGGAUGAUCAGUCACACUGGAACUGAGACACGGUCCAGGCUCCUACGGGAGGCAGCAGUGGGGAAUAUUGGACAAUGGGCGAAAGCCUGAUCCAGCCAUGCCGCGUGUAUGAAGAAGGUCUUCGGAUUGUAAAGUGCUUUAGUUUGGGAGGAAGAGCAGUAAGUUAAUACCUUGCUGUUUUGACGUUACCAACAGAAUAAGCACCGGCUAACUUCGUG